GACGAACGCUGGCGGCGUGCUUCACACAUGCAAGUCGAACGGAAAGGCCCUGCUUUUGUGGGGUGCUCGAGUGGCGAACGGGUGAGUAACACGUGAGUAACCUGCCCUUGACUUUGGGAUAACUUCAGGAAACUGGGGCUAAUACCGGAUAGGAGCUCCUGCUGCAUGGUGGGGGUUGGAAAGUUUCGGCGGUUGGGGAUGGACUCGCGGCUUAUCAGCUUGUUGGUGGGGUAGUGGCUUACCAAGGCUUUGACGGGUAGCCGGCCUGAGAGGGUGACCGGCCACAUUGGGACUGAGAUACGGCUCAGACUCCUACGGGAGGCAGCAGUGGGGAAUAUUGCACAAUGGGCGGAAGCCUGAUGCAGCAACGCCGCGUGCGGGAUAACGGCCUUCGGGUUGUAAACCGCUUUCGCCUGUGACGAAGCGUGAGUGACGGUAAUGGGUAAAGAAGCACCGGCUAACUACGUG
RNAcentral lists this ribosomal RNA (468 nucleotides) under uncultured bacterium. Its description in RNAcentral is "partial 16S ribosomal RNA". It matches the Rfam family "Bacterial small subunit ribosomal RNA", at positions 28 to 507 of the family's 1533-position model. The record is from RNAcentral.